This 446-nucleotide ribosomal RNA is filed under the name uncultured bacterium. Its description in RNAcentral is "partial 16S ribosomal RNA". It matches the Rfam family "Bacterial small subunit ribosomal RNA", at positions 338 to 795 of the family's 1533-position model. The record is from RNAcentral.
CCUACGGGGGGCAGCAGUCGAGAAUCAUUCACAAUGGGGGAAACCCUGAUGGUGCGACGCCGCGUGGGGGAAUGAAGGUCUUCGGAUUGUAAACCCCUGUCAUGUGGGAGCAAAUUAAAAAGAUAGUACCACAAGAGGAAGAGACGGCUAACUCUGUGCCAGCAGCCGCGGUAAUACAGAGGUCUCAAGCGUUGUUCGGAAUCACUGGGCGUAACGCGUGCGUAGGCUGUUUCGUAAGUCGUGUGUGAAAGGCGCGGGCUCAACCCGCGGACGGCACAUGAUACUGCGAGACUAGAGUAAUGGAGGGGGAACCGGAAUUCUCGGUGUAGCAGUGAAAUGCGUAGAUAUCGAGAGGAACACUCGUGGCGAAGGCGGGUUCCUGGACAUUAACUGACGCUGAGGCACGAAGGCCAGGGGAGCGAAAGGGAUUAGAUACCCGAGUAGUC